Long non-coding RNA from Bubalus bubalis (water buffalo), 613 nucleotides. RefSeq lists it as uncharacterized. The transcript is spliced from 2 exons. The record is from RefSeq and is a predicted model, not a curated record. Lineage: Eukaryota; Metazoa; Chordata; Mammalia; Artiodactyla; Bovidae.
UGUAAAUUUUAUUAUGGUUUACUGGCCUGUAUUUACAUCAUUGUGCACAUAUCACAGUACUUUAAUGUGUAUGGUUUAUGUUGAUAUCUGCUUGGGCAAGUUCUAGUUUUAGUGUUUUGUUUAUUUUUUCAUGGUUGCUUUGACCAUUUAUAUACACCUUCUGUUCAAUAUGAAGCUUACUCUCAGCUUUACAAAUUUUCUUUGAGGUUCUUGAUUGAGAUUAUUGAUAUCUUAUUGAAUUUAUAUAUUGAUUUGUGGAUAUAUAACAUCCUUAUUGAACUUUCCCAUCAGAAAUUAAUCUACUUAUGUUUCUUUUUAAACUUUUUUUAUCAUUUUGUUACUUAUUUCUCACUCUACAUAUUUAUAUUUCUUGUAAGGUUUAUGCAUGUUUCAUAAAUUUUAUUUCUUUUUGCACAGUUUGUUAAUGGGAUCUUCUUUUCAAGGAGUGUGUAGGAGAUGGUGGAUUUUCAAGGAAUAUAAAUUAGAUCAUCUGCAAGUAAUGAGAACUAUUUUCUUAUUUGCUAUUAUUUUUACACAUGGGAGAGUAGAUACAUGUGUUAAAUUGACCAUUUUCUUCACUGACUUAGAAAAUAAAAAAUUCCAGAUACAGAUC